CAGAAGAUGGAUACUCCAUGCGACCACAUCCCCUGUUGAGUUGCGAAGAGGAUAUGUGCCUCGGGGUAUAGAUGAGAGAGAAUUAGUAUCAGCAAUAGAUGAUGUUCAAACCAUUGCAAAUAGUGGCUUGGAAUUGGCUCGAGCAAGUACAUAUCCCGAAGCA
Asparagus officinalis (garden asparagus) is the source of this 163-nucleotide long non-coding RNA. RefSeq lists it as uncharacterized. The transcript has 3 exons. Lineage: Eukaryota; Viridiplantae; Streptophyta; Magnoliopsida; Asparagales; Asparagaceae. The record is from RefSeq and is a predicted model, not a curated record.